This 1431-nucleotide long non-coding RNA is filed under the name Mus musculus (house mouse). RNAcentral describes it as "long non-coding RNA chr18:3435269-3436700". The record is from RNAcentral. Lineage: Eukaryota; Metazoa; Chordata; Mammalia; Rodentia; Muridae.
UUUUUUUUUUAAUGUAUCUUAAAGGACAAAAAAUAAAAACUUAAAUAUUGUAAUAUGACAGAUAACCUAAUAAUUGUAUCUACAUUAAAAUGACAAACAUGAUGUUGCUGCUUGUCAAAUAAAAAAAAAAAAAAAUAAGCAUAAUGCCUUUUUCUAUGAUGACGGAAUAUCAGGUUGGACAGAAAAUGAGACAUCUGUAAAUGCCUAUGAGUCACCCAAGCAGCAAACAGCAUUUCGUCAUUUCAUCAUUUCGUCAUGGUGAUGAAUUUACUUGGGCUCCCAUCUAAAGUUCAAUUAAAAGUGCCAGGGUUCUGUCUUUGAAUACAUAAGAUUGUGAAUUUGAGCUAAUGGCAUAAGCAGUUUUUGCAUUUUGAGUAGGAUGUAAUUCUAUCUGGUUUUGGUGAUGAGCUGUACCACAGAAACGGAAUACUAUGCAGUGACUUCUAGGCUGGCAGAAAAGAACUGCUCACUCUUGACCCAUUCUUCAUGAUACAUCUAUGCUAACAUAAUGGCUGUGGCUCAUCUCCCAGAGUUUAGGAGACUAUGAGUACAGUGAAUUCCUUCCAGCUCCCCCUGCUCAUCGCUGGCACCCUUCCACAGUGCAGAUGACUCCCCCAUCACAAGUUGAUAGCAGGGCCCCUCAAUGCUAAGGAGUUCCACCAGGCAUCUUGUAUAGGGACAUGAGAUUUCAUGAGUUUGUUUCUAGUAGAUAACAGGGGCAUUCAGAUACUCUGGUUACUAUAUUCUCCAUCUGCCAUCUCUAGAUCACAUUGCUGUUUUAAACCAGAGUAUUUAUAUCUAACAGAUAAGGCCUUAAAUCCACAAUAAUAUUCUGAACAAAUAAAUAGAACUUAAUUUGCAUUCUCAUGUGGUUCAUAUUAAAUUUAAUGAUUGGUUAUUUGAUUGCACCUUUUGUAUCUUAAGCUUUCAAAAAUCUGCUGGACUUCUAAUGACUUCUACUGUCUUUAUUAUUUUGCCUUCCUACCUCGUGUAGAUAAUGGCAAAGCAUAUACUAUUGUACAUUCAUGGUCAAAGAACAAGCCCCUUGUUUUGAUAACUUGUUACAAGUUUUCCAAAUUUAUAAAUAUUAAAUUAAGUCAUAACCUGAUACCAAUUGUCAAGAAAUGUUAUAUUGAAAAGUAGAAAAAAUAUUUGUGACAAAUUCAAGUUUUCUUAACAUUUCCUUCUUAUUUAUUGAUGAGCAGAAAGAAGAAGGGAGUUCAGGUAAGUCUAGGCUCUACUGAGAAAGUGAAAAUGUAUUCAUUGAAUUCUGUCCCGCCCACUUCCUCCCCUGAGGAGCCCCUGACAAGAGCUCCAGCUUGGCUUUACUGGCUGCCAUAGUGAGUGCUUAUGGGCAGAGUGGGUCAACUACAGGAAGGUAGGAGAGGUAGGAAGGUAGGAGAGGGAAGGGACUUUUUUAUACCUUAUUGC